RNAcentral lists this ribosomal RNA (421 nucleotides) under uncultured bacterium. RNAcentral describes it as "bacterial SSU rRNA". It matches the Rfam family "Bacterial small subunit ribosomal RNA", at positions 355 to 773 of the family's 1533-position model. The record is from RNAcentral.
UGGGGAAUAUUGGUCAAUGGACGGAAGUCUGAACCAGCCAUGCCGCGUGCAGGAAUAAGGUCCUAUGGAUUGUAAACUGCUUUUAUUUGGGAAUAAACCUCCUUACGUGUAGGGAGCUGAAGGUACCACCGGAAUAAGCAACGGCUAACUCCGUGCCAGCAGCCGCGGUAAUACGGAGGGUGCAAGCGUUAUCCGGAAUCAUUGGGUUUAAAGGGUCCGCAGGCGGGCUAAUAAGUCAGAGGUGAAAUCCCACAGCUUAACUGUGGAACUGCCUUUGAAACUGUUAGUCUUGAAUUAGGAGGGCGUUGGCGGAAUAAGUCAUGUAGUGGUGAAAUUCAUAGAUAUGACCUAGAACACCGCCAGCGAAGGCAGCUAACGAAUCCUAUAUUGACGCUCAUGGACGAAAGCGUGGGGAGCUAAC